UGGGGAAUAUUGGACAAUGGAGGGAACUCUGAUCCAGCAAUUCUGUGUGUGUGAAGAAGGUUUUAGGACUGUAAAACACUUUUAGUAGGAAAGAAAAAAAUGACGGUACCUACAGAAGAAGCAACGGCUAAAUACGUGCCAGCAGCCGCGGUAAUACGUAUGUUGCGAGCGUUAUCCGGAAUUAUUGGGCUUAAAGGGCAUCUAGGCGGUAAGACAAGUUGAAGGUGAAAACCUGUGGCUCAACCAUAGGCUUGCCUACAAAACUGUUGAACUAGAGUACUGGAAAGGUGGGUGGAACUACACGAGUAGAGGUGAAAUUCGUAGAUAUGUGUAGGAAUGCCGAUGAUGAAGAUAACUCACUGGACAGAAACUGACGCUGAAGUGCGAAAGCUAGGGGAGCAAACAGG
Molecule: ribosomal RNA, 407 nt
Filed under: Verrucomicrobiota bacterium
Lineage: Bacteria; Pseudomonadati; Verrucomicrobiota
Description: Verrucomicrobia bacterium partial 16S ribosomal RNA
Rfam family: Bacterial small subunit ribosomal RNA
Source: RNAcentral